RNAcentral lists this unclassified non-coding RNA (1060 nucleotides) under Hevea brasiliensis (rubber tree). The record is from RNAcentral. Lineage: Eukaryota; Viridiplantae; Streptophyta; Magnoliopsida; Malpighiales; Euphorbiaceae.
UAACCACCUUUUAGUCUCUUGCGAUUAAAUUGACAAAAAUGGAAGGAAAGACCCAAUAGUCAACGGAAUCAAAUGUGAGGGAUUAAAUCAUGUAUUUUUUAAAAUACGAGGCCAAGUCAUUAAUUUUAACAUAAUCGAUAGACUAUAUAGUAAUUUUCCCUAAAUUGAAAUAUCAUGUUUAACAAUGUGACUGAAAGCUAGGCUAUAUCGUUUUGAAUGUUCGAACACACGCACACACAAAAUUUAUUCUUUUAAGUUAAAAAAAGCAAGUCUAGCAACCUUGAUCACAUGUAUCAAUUUACCCAUAUACACCACUACUGGUCGGAUAAAAGACAGACCCUGGCUUAACAGAAACAAGAAAAACCAAAUAUGAUGAUCUCAUAACAAAAUCAAUAUUUAGGGUUUAUUCAGAAAAUUACUCAUCUUGGAAUUGUUGCUAAUUUAAAUGAAGAAGGUCUUAAGAUUUUAAGUUUUUAAAUGACAAACAAAUGAAGAAGACAAGUCUUGUUGCAUUGGUGAGGUUACUCUACUUUUAAUGAUUAAGCAGAAUCCCCAAAUUCCCACACCAUAAAAUGUCAUUAGAGCUUGCACUGAAACUGCUGAAGCCUGAAGUUGUGCAAUUUGAAAUCAGGAUGGAACAAUUAUCUCCUAAUGCAAAGACUAAUAAUUGGGCUAGCAGGCACAGCAUAACACAAUUAUAUAUUCUACCACAGUUUCAGUACCAUUUCCUGUAGCCACUUUCAUAUGGCAUGUUCAACUAAGAAACACUAUUUUUCCAAUCCUAGGCAUCAGACAGGAGGAAAUCAAUUACAAUAGUGAAUAGAAAGAAGGUGGCAUUAAUAGUGAAUGCCAUAAUAAGUUUUCUGCAAAUUUCCCAACUCGAGAUGGGCAUAAAGCUCAUAGAAAAAGCACACAUGGUGAAGAACCAAUGACUUCCAUUUCUUUUUUAUAAUAAACUUGUAUGACAAUGUCAGGUUAUGGUAUCAAUAAAUCCUAGCCUGACCAUUUUAACUUUCCCUUUCAUUCAUGGCAACAAUCUCCUUUUCUAUUUUUUGCUCCG